Molecule: ribosomal RNA, 469 nt
Filed under: uncultured bacterium
Lineage: Bacteria
Description: partial 16S ribosomal RNA
Rfam family: Bacterial small subunit ribosomal RNA
Source: RNAcentral
GACGAACGCUGGCGGCGUGCUUAACACAUGCAAGUCGAACGGAAAGGCCCUGCUUUUGUGGGGUGCUCGAGUGGCGAACGGGUGAGUAACACGUGAGUAACCUGCCCUUGACUUUGGGAUAACUUCAGGAAACUGGGGCUAAUACCGGAUAGGAGCUCCUGCUGCAUGGUGGGGAUUGGAAAGUUUCGGCGGUUGGGGAUGGACUCGCGGCUUAUCAGCUUGUUGGUGGGGUAGUGGCUUACCAAGGCUUUGACGGGUAGCCGGCCUGAGAGGGUGACCGGCCACAUUGGGACUGAGAUACGGCCCAGACUCCUACGGGAGGCAGCAGUGGGGAAUAUUGCACAAUGGGCGGAAGCCUGAUGCAGCAACGCCGCGUGCGGGAUGACGGCCUUCGGGUUGUAAACCGCUUUCGCCUGUGACGAAGCGUGAGUGACGGUAAUGGGUAAAGAAGCACCGGCUAACUACGUGC